ACUACGAGUUUGAUCCUGGCUCAGAGUGAACGCUGGCGGCAGGCCUAACACAUGCAAGUCGAGCGGCAGCGCGGGGCAACCCUGGCGGCGAGCGGCGGACGGGUGAGGAAUGCAUCGGAAUCUACCUCGUUGUGGGGGAUAACCUCGGGAAACCGGGACUAAUACCGCAUACGACCUACGGGUGAAAGUGGGGGACCUUCGGGCCUCACGCGAUGAGAUGAGCCGAUGCCGGAUUAGCUAGUUGGCGGGGUAAAGGCCCACCAAGGCGACGAUCCGUAGCUGGUCUGAGAGGAUGAUCAGCCACACUGGAACUGAGACACGGUCCAGACUCCUACGGGAGGCAGCAGUGGGGAAUAUUGGACAAUGGGCGCAAGCCUGAUCCAGCCAUGCCGCGUGUGUGAAGAAGGCCUUCGGGUUGUAAAGCACUUUUGUUGGGGAAGAAACCGGUCGGAUUAAUACUUCGGCUGAAUGACGGUACCCAAAGAAUAAGCACCGGCUAACUUCGUG
This 507-nucleotide ribosomal RNA is filed under the name uncultured bacterium. RNAcentral's name for it is "bacterial SSU rRNA". It matches the Rfam family "Bacterial small subunit ribosomal RNA", at positions 1 to 507 of the family's 1533-position model. The record is from RNAcentral.